This is an RNA transcript of Pan troglodytes (chimpanzee), 5280 nucleotides long. It is a transcript of the gene named solute carrier family 12 member 8, with no coding region annotated. The transcript is spliced from 16 exons. Lineage: Eukaryota; Metazoa; Chordata; Mammalia; Primates; Hominidae. The record is from RefSeq and is a predicted model, not a curated record.
CGAGCCGGGGCAGCCACGUGGCGGCGGGGCGGGGACCGGGAGGGCCGGGCGCUGGGAGCUGGCUGUCCCAGGAGCAGAGCAGUCUCCCUGUCCAGAUCACCAGGAUCCCUGCUUGCUGGAGAAUGACCCAGAUGUCCCAGGUGCAGGAGCUCUUCCAUGAGGCAGCCCAGCAGGAUGCCCUGGCCCAGCCCCAGCCCUGGUGGAAGACCCAGCUGUUCGUGUGGGAGCCUGUGCUGUUUGGGACCUGGGAUGGUGUGUUCACAUCCUGCAUGAUCAACAUCUUUGGGGUUGUGCUCUUCCUGAGGACUGGCUGGCUGGUGGGAAACACAGGAGUGCUCCUGGGCAUGUUCCUGGUGUCCUUCGUCAUCCUGGUGGCCCUCAUCACGGUGCUGUCUGGCAUUGGCGUCGGGGAGCGCAGCAGCAUCGGCAGCGGUGGCGUCUACUCCAUGAUCUCCUCGGUCCUGGGUGGGCAGACGGGAGGCACCAUCGGGCUGCUCUAUGUGUUUGGACAGUGUGUUGCAGGUGCCAUGUACAUCACCGGCUUUGCUGAAUCCAUCUCGGAUUUGCUGGGCCUCGGGAAUAUUUGGGCUGUGCGAGGAAUUUCAGUUGCGGUGCUUCUGGCCUUGCUGGGCAUUAACCUCGCAGGUGUCAAAUGGAUAAUCCGCCUCCAGCUGCUGUUGCUGUUCCUGCUGGCCGUGUCCACACUGGACUUUGUGGUGGGUUCUUUCACCCACCUGGACCCAGAACAUGGUUUCAUUGGAUAUUCACCCGAACUGCUACAGAACAACACGCUGCCCGAUUACAGCCCGGGGGAAUCUUUUUUCACUGUCUUUGGGGUUUUCUUCCCAGCAGCUACAGGAGUCAUGGCCGGCUUCAACAUGGGGGGCGACCUCAGGGAGCCUGCCGCCAGCAUUCCCCUGGGCUCCCUGGCAGCUGUUGGCAUCUCGUGGUUUCUGUACAUCGUCUUCGUCUUCCUCCUGGGCGCCAUCUGCACUCGAGAGGCCCUUCGCUAUGACUUCCUCAUAGCGGAAAAGGUAUCCCUCGUGGGCUUCCUGUUCCUUUUGGGCUUAUACAUCUCGUCCCUGGCUUCCUGUAUGGGAGGACUUUAUGGAGCUCCCCGCAUCCUGCAGUGCAUUGCCCAGGAGAAAGUGAUCCCUGCACUUGCCUGUCUGGGACAAGGGAAGGGGCCAAACAAAACACCCGUGGCUGCCAUCUGCCUGACCAGCUUGGUGACCAUGGCCUUUGUUUUUGUGGGUCAAGUGAACAUUCUGGCCCCCAUCGUCACCAUCAACUUCAUGCUGACAUACAUCGCAGUGGACUACUCUUACUUCUCCCUGUCCAUGUGUUCCUGCAGCCUGACCCCGGUGCCUGAGCCGGUGCUCAGGGAGGGCCCGGAAGGCCUCCACUGCUCUGAGCACCUGCUCUUAGAGAAAGCUCCCAGUUACGGCUCUGAGGGACCUGCCCAAAGAGUCUUGGAGGGCACGCUACUGGAAUUCACCAAGGACAUGGAUCAGCUCCUCCAGCUAACCAGGAAGCUUGAGAGUAGCCAGCCCAGGCAAGGAGAGGGUAACAGGACCCCAGAAAGUCAGAAGAGGAAAAGCAAGAAGGCCACCAAGGAGACCCUACAAGAUAGCUUCCUCUUGGACCUCAAAUCCCCUCCUUCUUUCCCUGUUGAGAUCUCUGACAGGUUGCCCGCUGCCUCCUGGGAGGGGCAGGAGUCCUGCUGGAACAAGCAGACUUCCAGGAGCGAAGGGACUCAGCCUGAGGGAACAUAUGGAGAGCAACUUGUUCCUGAGCUGUGCAACAAAUCAGAGUCCAGUGGAGAAGUGCAAGAAGGGUGUUCCAACUCCGUGGGAGGCUCUCUUCCAUGCAUCCACUCAGGGAUCCAGGCUCCUGCCAUUUGUAUGACUUCACUGUGCCCUCGGACCUAGUCGUGUGAAGAGUCAAGACUGAGUUAUCACAUUCAGAUUUCAGGCAGAGGAAGGGGAAAGUGCACAGAGAAGAGGCACACAUUCUCUUAAAGACCUUGGGCCAGGAGUGGCACUCACUGCUUCUGUUCACAUUCUGUUGCUGAGAACUUAGUCACAUGGUUACACCUAACAGUGAGAAAUCCUGUGGACUGUACUCUAGCUGUGGUCUGUACCACAGGAGCCCGCUGCAGUAAAUGGAUGAAAGAUGAAAGUGGGUUGGACUAGGAUGGGAGCAAUGGAGGCAGUGAGGAGUCAUUGUAUCCAGAAUAUAUUCUGAUAGUAGAAUCAACAAGGUUUACGGAUGGAAUAAGUAUAGGUGUGAGAGAAAGAAGGGAGUCAGGAUGAAUCUUACAUGUUUGUGUAAAUGGUGGUGUUAUUUAUUCAAAUGAAGAUUUGAGGUGAAUAGAUUUCUGUGUUAGUCAUGUUAAGUUUAAGGUGCUUAUUAGCCAACUAAUGGGUGAUACUGAGAAGACAAUGAGCUAUUCAAAACUUAAGUUCAAGGGAGAGGUCGAGGAUGAUGUAAACUUGGAGUCAUCAAUAUAUCAGUAGCAUUUAAAGCCAUGAGACUAGAAGAAAUCUCUUAGGAGUGGGUAUACAUGGAAAAAAGGAGUGCUGAAGACUGAAUGUUGGAAUACUCCAAUAUUUUCAGGCUGGAAGGAGGAGGCGAGCCAGCAAAGAAGACUGAGAGAGUGGGCAGUGACAUAGAAAAAUCAAGAGAGUGAGGCAUCUUAGAGGCUAAUUGUUCCAAGAAGGAGAAAGUGAUCACAUGUAUCAGAUGCUGCCUGAAAGAUCAAAUGGGAUGAGGGCUAGGAGUUGACCACAGAAUUUGAAAAGAUUCAAAUCAUUGGCAACUUUGGUAAGAGUAGUUUUAGUGGAAAAGUGGAUACAAUCAUAAGAGUGGGUUGGGGAAAUAAUGGGAUAUAGAGACUGCAUAGGCAAUUCUUUUGAGGAACUUUGCUAUAAGGGAGACACAGCAAUAGGACAAUAACUAGGGGUGACCUGUAGACAUUUGUUUAGGUGGGAGAGAUGACAGUAUAUUUGUAUUUGUUGGGAAUGAUUCAGUAGGGGACAGGAAAAUUGAUGAUGUGAGAACAAAGUCCUUGAACAGGCCAAAAGGAAUGGGAUCCUGGCACAAGUGGAGGGAUGGGCCUUAGGAUCAGAGGCUGUUCAUCCACCGUGAAAGGAAGGAAGGAAGAAUAGAGGGUAUAGAUGCAAGUGAAUUGGCUAAUUGGGUGAUGAGAGAACAUGAAAAGUUCUCUUUGGAGAAGAGAGCUUGUAAAUUUGUUCUAUCAGAGAGUAGGAGGAUGAGUUGCCUAGGUAUGAGGCUGCUGAGUAAUUCUGAAGCAUGGGAGCAGAUGUGUAUGUAGGUAAGAGGUUAGGGAAAGCGGGAGGUAGGUGAUGGAAAUCAAAAACAUACUAAGGCAAAUUAUCUAAAGGUCCCUCUGUAGACUAUGAAUGGUUGGAAUGAGGAACAGCAGAGCAAAUGAGCUUAACUUUGUUUUUAAAGGAGGUUAUGGGCUGAGAGUAGAUUGCUUAAAGUCAUGAUUUAGGAAGUGUAAGGUUACUGGUAAUGACACACCGCAAGUGCAGCUAAGGGAGUUGACAGUUGGGAUGAGUGAAAGAAAAGAUUAUUAGUAUGAGGAUUUCGAGGAAUCGAGAAAGUAGGGCUUUGGAUGAGUUGUUUUUGUAGAAGUCACCAAGGAUGACAAUGGAUGCUGAUAGAGAAAAAGAUGGUGAACCAGGGGCUGAAAUAUUUAACAAGCAAGAGAAGAAUGACAACUUGGUAAAAGACUGUAAUGAUGAAGGGUAGGGUGUGAAAUAGUCUGAUGGCAUGUGCUUCAAAGGGGCUAGAUCAUAAAGCAACAGUGACCAGAGAGGUUGGGAGACUUGGACUAGGAAUACUUAGUGAGUUCUGCUACAUGCCAAGCCCUAGGCUCAAGAUGGAUGUGGACCCUGCCCCCAUGAAGCAUAUAAUCCAGUGGGCAUAGAAACAUGUAAAUAAGUAUACAACUAUAAAUGAUGAUUUCUUCCUGAAGUCCAGGCUCCAAGAACAAGAUGUCUGGAGAAGAUCCACUUCUUUCUAUACCCACAUGUGCAACCCCUGGGUCUCCCUGUUGGGGGCUGUUGGGUCCCUUCUCAUCAUGUUUGUGAUACAGUGGGUGUAUACCCUGGUUAACAUGGGUGUUGCUGCCAUUGUGUAUUUCUACAUUGGCCGGGCCAGUCCAGGGCUUCACCUUGGAUCAGCCUCCAACUUCAGCUUUUUCCGGUGGAUGAGGUCUCUCUUGCUCCCCUCCUGCAGCCACUCCAUUCCAUUAUUUUUGACAAAAAAAAAAGCAAAGAAAAGCUACAGAGCCCCAACAUGAUACCAUUUGGAGGGCAAAACCUCUCUUUGUUGGUUAUUUCCUAUCAGGAGCUUGCGGUCCCCUCAGGAGCAGAUCAUCUUGGCGCCGUCCCUGGCUAAGGUUGACAUGGAGAUGACUCAGCUCACCCAGGAGAAUGCAGACUUCGCCACUCGGGAUCACUACCACCACUCGUCCCUCAUGAGCCGGGAGCAGCUGAUGCCUCACUACUAGAUGCAGUGCUGGGACCUUCCUCUUUUGGAGCUGUCCCAUGCACAGUAGACCCAAGCCCAGGACCUUCAUGGAGCUGCUUCUCCAACCUGAGAAACUCAAGACCCAUCCUCCCGCUGUCACUUUGGACAAUGGAAAUCUACAUUUUCUUUUCCCAUUUUUUUUUUUUUUGAGACAGAGUCUCGCCCUGUCACCCAGGCUGGAGUCCAGUGGCACAAUCUUGGCUCACUGCAACCUCUGCUUCCCGAGUUCAAGCAAUUCUCCUGCCUCAGCCUCCUGAGUAGCUGGGAUUACAGGCAUGCACCACCACACCCAGCUAUUUUUUGUAUUUUUACUGGAGACAGGGUUUUACCAUGUUGGCCAGGCUGGUCUCGAACUCCUGACCUCGUGAUCCACCCGUCUCAGCCUCCCAAAGUACUGGGAUUACAGGCGUGAGCCACCAUGCCUGGCCAGAAAUCUAUGUUUUCUUAGAACAUGUGGAAGAAGGAAAAAGACAAAAAAGGAAAUCUGGAUUCUGAGGACCACGUCUCACCCAGGAUGACAUCAGGAAUGGUGCUAGCCUCGGCAACACGACACCCAGUCUGAAGAGCUCUAUACAGGUACUAAGACUAGCAGGGGACACCAAGACUCUGCACAACCAGAUUGCUUGUGCAGAGGGCCACAAUAAGUGUAUGUUUUAUAUUUUAUUGUAUUAUUUAUUCAAAAAUAAAUAAUACACUCACAUGUUUCCACACCCAAAA